UUUUUCUUUCUUUCUUUCCAUUUUUUUUUUCUCUAUAUGUUACUUUCUUUCUUUCUUUCUUUCUUUCUUUCUUUCUUUCUUUCUUUCUCUCUCUCUCUCUCUCUCUCUCUCUUUCUCUCUUUCUUCUCUUUCUCUUUCUUCUCUUUCUCUUUUUUCUUUCUCUCUCUCUUUUUUCUUUCUCUCUUUCUCUCUCUCUCUCUCUUUCUUUCCUUUCUCUCUCCCUCUCUCUCUUUCUCUCUCUUUCUCUCUUUCCUUCUUCCUCUCACUUACUGAUUUCUCUUUCAUUCUAUUUCUCUUUCCUUUUUUUUUCGUUUCUUCAUCUCUCACUUUGUCCUCUCUUGUUUCUCUCUCUUCCUCCCUUUCUGUUUUCCUGUUUAUCACCCUUACUCCCUCUUUUCCUCUUUUCCUCUUUUCCUCUUUCCCUCUUUCUUUUUCUUUCCUCCCUCUUUCCCUCUUUACUUUUCUCUGCCUCAGUCUCUCCAUUCUCACCAGCUUCAUCUCGUGGUCAUCGGGAGCCGCUUUGCCGUUCUCCCCAGGGUUUUUCCAGCUCUGUCCCCCUCCCGUGGGACCCCGGGGAUUGCCCGCCCAGCCGCACCGGGGGGGUCUCCCCUCUUCCCCGGGAAGAGAGCAGCGAGGAUCCCCCGGGCUCCGCGGUUCCUCUGCCCUGCAGGAUUGUGGCCCAGUUCCUGCCCAGAGCCCGGCACCCUGUCCCGGGCUGCCGGUCCCCCCGGGGCAUAUGUGCCUUCCUUGGCCCUACCAGCUUCUGCCAUCAGGCCACACGCAGUGGAAACAGCCCUGGAGAAGUCCCAGGUGCCUCCCGCUUCCCCAAAAAAUUGACCUCCAAAGCUGUGCUCGGGUCCCCAGCCCUCACCUCCGCCGCCCGCGCCCCAGCCCACCCGCGGCUCUCCCUCCCACCCGCGCUGCCCCCCACGCCGCCUUUGCGGGGCUUUCCCGUGCGGGUGCAGCCUCCCCGCGGGCUCCGUCCUUCCCAUUGACCGGCCCCUGGCUCCUUGUACCGGCGGGGGGGAGCAGGAGGGGGCGGGAGGCAGCGUCCCCGGGCCGGGAGAGCGCCCGUGGGGGGCCACUGGGGGCUGCGGGCAGCACCAGCCCCCCGGGCGGCUCCUCUCCCACCAGAUCGCGUUGUGCUAUUAAAUAAGGCGCACCCCGGUUCCCCAAGCCCUUGGCAGCAACAGGUGACACUGCGAGCCGGGACGGGCGAAAAAAAAACCAUUCCCGCAGGGUCUGAUCGCACGUUUCCAACCCUUCCUCAUCAUCCACAUCCUAAUGCUCUCCUCGGAUGGACGGUCCCCUGGGGCAGAGCCGGGGCUGCUCCCUCCCGCUGCCCGCGAUCGGGUUCUCCCGGCCCGGCCCGGCCCGGCUCGGCUCGGCUCUGCCGGGCAGGCGGCCCCGGGCAGCCCGGAGCGCGGCCCCGAUGGCCUUUCCCAGGCACGACCCUGCGGGCACCUCGCUGCCCAGCUCCGUGUGGGUACAAGGAGUGGUGAAUAAAGAAAUGUUCCUCUCCGGGUGCCA
This 1530-nucleotide long non-coding RNA is filed under the name Anas platyrhynchos platyrhynchos (common mallard). Its description in RNAcentral is "lncRNA (ENSAPLG00000031096.1)". The record is from RNAcentral. Lineage: Eukaryota; Metazoa; Chordata; Aves; Anseriformes; Anatidae.